This 1346-nucleotide ribosomal RNA is filed under the name uncultured bacterium. RNAcentral describes it as "partial 16S ribosomal RNA". It matches the Rfam family "Bacterial small subunit ribosomal RNA", at positions 28 to 1381 of the family's 1533-position model. The record is from RNAcentral.
GACGAACGCUGGCGGCGUGCUUAACACAUGCAAGUCGAACGGAAAGGCCCUGCUUUUGUGGGGUGCUCGAGUGGCGAACGGGUGAGUAACACGUGAGUAACCUGCCCUUGACUUUGGGAUAACUUCAGGAAACUGGGGCUAAUACCGGAUAGGAGCUCCUGCUGCAUGGUGGGGGUUGGAAAGUUUCGGCGGUUGGGGAUGGACUCGCGGCUUAUCAGCUUGUUGGUGGGGUAGUGGCUUACCAAGGCUUUGACGGGUAGCCGGCCUGAGAGGGUGACCGGCCACAUUGGGACUGAGAUACGGCCCAGACUCCUACGGGAGGCAGCAGUGGGGAAUAUUGCACAAUGGGCGGAAGCCUGAUGCAGCAACGCCGCGUGCGGGAUGACGGCCUUCGGGUUGUAAACCGCUUUCGCCUGUGACGAAGCGUGAGUGACGGUAAUGGGUAAAGAAGCACCGGCUAACUACGUGCCAGCAGCCGCGGUGAUACGUAGGGUGCGAGCGUUGUCCGGAUUUAUUGGGCGUAAAGGGCUCGUAGGUGGUUGAUCGCGUCGGAAGUGUAAUCUUGGGGCUUAACCCUGAGCGUGCUUUCGAUACGGGUUGACUUGAGGAAGGUAGGGGAGAAUGGAAUUCCUGGUGGAGCGGUGGAAUGCGCAGAUAUCAGGAGGAACACCAGUGGCGAAGGCGGUUCUCUGGGCCUUUCCUGACGCUGAGGAGCGAAAGCGUGGGGAGCGAACAGGCUUAGAUACCCUGGUAGUCCACGCUGUAAACGGUGGGUACUAGGUGUGGGGUCCAUUCCACGGGUUCCGUGCCGUAGCUAACGCUUUAAGUACCCCGCCUGGGGAGUACGGCCGCAAGGCUAAAGCUCAAAGGAAUUGACGGGGCCCCGCACAAGCGGCGGAGCAUGCGGAUUAAUUCGAUGCAACGCGUAGAACCUUACCUGGGUUUGACAUGGGUCGGGAGUGCUCAGAGAUGGGUGUGCCUCUUUUGGGGUCGGUUCACAGGUGGUGCAUGGCUGUCGUCAGCUCGUGUCGUGAGAUGUUGGGUUAAGUCCCGCAACGAGCGCAACCCUUGUUCACUGUUGCCAGCACGUUAUGGUGGGGACUCAGUGGAGACCGCCGGGGUCAACUCGGAGGAAGGUGGGGAUGACGUCAAGUCAUCAUGCCCCUUAUGUCCAGGGCUUCACGCAUGCUACAAUGGCUGGUACAGAGAGUGGCGAGCCUGUGAGGGUGAGCGAAUCUCGGAAAGCCGGUCUCAGUUCGGAUUGGGGUCUGCAACUCGACCUCAUGAAGUCGGAGUCGCUAGUAAUCGCAGAUCAGCAACGCUGCGGUGAAUACGUUCCCGGGGCU